RNAcentral lists this ribosomal RNA (447 nucleotides) under uncultured bacterium. RNAcentral describes it as "SSU rRNA". It matches the Rfam family "Bacterial small subunit ribosomal RNA", at positions 26 to 518 of the family's 1533-position model. The record is from RNAcentral.
AGAGCGAACGCUGGCGGCAGGCCUAACACAUGCAAGUCGAGCGCCCGUAGCAAUACGGGAGCGGCAGACGGGAUAGUAACACGUGGGAACGCGCCCUUCGGUUCGGAAUAACUCAGGGAAACUUGAGCUAAUACCGAAUACGCCCUUACGGGGAAAGAUUUAUUGCCGAAGGAACGGCCCGCGUCCGAUUAGCUAGUUGGUGAGGUAAUGGCUCACCAAGGCUACGAUCGGUAGCUGGUCUGAGAGGAUGACCAGCAUCACUGGGACUGAGACACGGCCCAGACUCCUACGGGAGGCAGCAGUGGGGAAUAUUGGACAAUGGGCGCAAGCCUGAUCCAGCCAUGCCGCGUGGAUGAUGAAGGCCUUAGGGUUGUAAAGUCCUUUUAACGGGGAAGAUAAUGACGGUACCCGUAGAGUAAGCCCGGCUAACUUCGUGCCAGCAGCCGC